CAUUGUUUCGGCUGAGUCAAUGUUUUUACAUCCUAGUUGCUGAACGAUGACGGUGUCCCCAUACCAAAAAUAAAGCCAGUAGGUAAGAAUAAGAAAAACUUUAUUUAUCCCCGAAGGAAAAUUCAAUUUUCUGUUGUCUCACAAAAUAUGUCUCUAACAGUUAUCUACUUUUUACACAGGAGUUAUAAAGUCUAAUAGCUGUUGGUACAAAAGAUCUUCUGAAUCUUUCUGUCCUGCAGAGAAGAGAGAGGAGCCGUCCACCACCACCGGCCCUCCGGCCUUCCAGCCCAUCAAGGUGCCGUGAAGCGAGCAAUCCAUGCUCUCUAGAAUAGACGAAGCAUGUGCGUGAUUUUAGCCUGGAUAACAAAAAUACAAAUACUCGUGUUGUGUUAAGUAGUUGCAAGCUUAAGUGAAGCUGACUCUUACCUACAGGAUAUCAAAGUGGGCAUGGGUCAAGCCAGAAGAUGCUUGAAGAAAUGACAAACUCAUCUGUGGAGGUUUGUGAAAUAAGCCUACAGCUGGUUGUUUAACAUGAUCACCUUAUCAUAUCGAACACAAACGCUUAUUUUAAAAAGGGACAUUUUAGCGACAUCUAGCAGUCACAUAUAAACUAAAACACUCCCCCCCUCACCCCACCCCUCUGUAAAGUAACAGUGGCCUUAAUAGACAAAAACCCUUCAAAUGCAUGAUAAGGGAAUCCUCCAGGUCAAAGUGACCACUCAGGUCAAGUUUUUACCAUCAUAAAAUUUCAAUACAAGUGAUUUUUCCCCAACAUCUUUCUCUGUUUUCAUCUAUCAGCUGAUAAACUUCCCACGAACACUCACUCAAUAUAAAAACAUAUAUCUUACCAAUUUGUCUGGUUUCUGCUUCGAGAGAAACACGGUGGUGACCUCUAUCUUCAUCAAUAAAAAUCUUGUCCCAAAUUAACAUAAACGAAACUUUUUUAUUUUUAUUUUGAAAAGAUGAUAUAAUAUAUAUAUAACUGUAACUAGAUAUAACUCUUCCUUGGUUAUAUAACUGGAAAAAGGAAAACUCACAGGCAGUAUGAAACCACACAAAUAAAGAUGUUGAUCUUGUGGAAGCAGCAUGAAGCAAAAGUGGUUUCUGUGUAGAUGUUAGACUGCAGCUCCUGGAUCUAAAGGAUGAAUCAUAAAACUCUGCACCAAACUGUCAUCUAAACCCCACCUGUACCCCUAUUACCAGCAGGAUCAGGAUUUAAAUCCCAGAAUAAAGCUGGCACAGCACUGUUUUGGUCAGGAUGUCAUGUUCAGUCUCAAGGGUCACGUACAGUACACAGUGUAUAAUUCACAUGAAGAGUACUCCAUUAAGAACAUCAGCCUCCAGUUGUUAAAGAUUAUAAUUGUAGAGGCUUGGAGAGAUCCCAGCGGAUGUCUACUCCAAAAGUGAAAUGAAAAUUAUGCCCUUGUUGAACAAACAUCACAUUAAAGCAUUAUUGUCUCCCUACUCUCAGCCUCCCUCGUGCAAAAAACUUGCCACACACUUGUUCUGUAAGUGGUUUAUCAAAGGCAUCCUGGGAAAUUGCUGACAGAAGUCUGCAAAAAUUAGAGAUGUUAUUGGAAAAUAUGACGACCUAAAAGAAAUUCAACACUAAAUAGCAAAAUCCAGUUUCUUCUAAUAUAAAUACAAAUAUUCCACAAUCAAUCUAAUGAUUUUUUUACUUUAUUUCACAUAAACUCCAGGUCAAAUAAAGCUGAAUUUGUGUAAUGCAUGUAUAAAUAUUAAGGACAUUGAUAUCACAUGAGUUAAAAAAAACAGCAAACGUCACAUUUGUACAUUAGUUUGUUCAUUAAAAGAGAUCUUAUUCCAUCAUUUCAGCUCAGCAUCGUCGACAUGGACUGAUAGAAAAAAAAAAACACACUGAUUAAUGUUCCCCAGUGUUUAAUCUCCUGUGUUAAAAAUGCUUCAUUCAUGUGUUUGCCCAGUCAGGCUGGGUAUCUAUUAUACCUUAUCAGGAUUUCUGCCAAACAGAAAAGUUUGGCAGCAGUGAAAAUAAAAAGAUGUCAACAAUUUGGUAUCUGAGACAAACUGAAGCCGAGUCUGGUUAUGUCCAUUGUUCAGUAUCAGCUCUCGGCUCAUUAUUGUGGGGAAAUGUAUUUCAUAACAUAGUUUUCUCCCAGACCUUCGUAGCUUUCACAGCAAUAGUCCUCUGAUAUGGAGGAGAAAAAAAUAUUAUUUCAAUACUGUAUUCAUUUUGCAUUAAACAAGGCAUAUUCAAGACAUGUUUUCAUUCCGUCUCUCUCACAAACACCCGCAAACACACACAUACACACACGUGAACAUAUCCAUAGAGUGAGGCUGAAAAAACAAUUACAGUUUCUCAUUAAGGCACUCCUAAUCCCUUUAUGCAAAACACAGUUACACAAGUAUACACAAUGAGGAAAAAGAGAGAAUGAGGGUGGGGAGGAAAGAGGAGGGAGAGAGGAGAGAAAAAAAAAAUGUAGCACAAAUGCGAGGAGAAUAAUUACAUAUAUCAUGAAGCCGUCCCUUUUAUUUUGGAUGUCACUUCUGAUGUCACUGGCCGGCUUUGGCACUAAUUUGAAUUCAGACCUUUAUCAGUCGCCGGCAGCAGAUUUUGAGUGACAGCGCCACCAAACGCCUCUCGCCAGCCGUCCUAUUGAUUUCUCUAAAUCCCCAACAAUAGCAUUUGCAUGCUUGUUUCUGUUAUAAUACAGAUAUGCCGUUUCGGAAAUUAAAGAGCAGCAGGCAGACCAGAGGUAACUAAUUGUGUGCCUGUGUAAUGAGUGCAGUUUCAAUUUGAUAUAACCCACAGCUUUUCCCCUCGCAGGCCUGCGCUAAGUACUUUCAAGUCUUUGUGGGGAAAUAAUUGAUUUUUGUGCUUUGGGCACAGGGAAAACUAUUAUGAUCUUUUUGAAUAAUGGCAGCGGGAGGAAAGGAGCGUUGAACGAUUUAAAUUGGUAUUAGAGGAGAGGAAGGAAGGGAAGGAGGGCUUGGUGCAAGCAGAGGACUGAUAGCACAGCAGAGUGUUGGAUUUGACUGACAGACGGCAAAUGGCUCCCAGUUUGUUGAUUACUCAUUCUCUUAAGGUGGAAGUGGGGCGAUGUGAGGUGUCGUCGUGGCAUUAAGUAAAGCCAAAAUGAGCCUGACUGGCUGGAUCGCUGGUUUACGGAGAGGAGAAGAUGGAGGAGGGCAGUCAGGGUGGUCUGGCUGGAUCGCUUGUGCCAGAGGCCUGUUAGCAGGCCAAAACAGUGGGUGAAUGAACAAGCACACGGGGUGAGGUUGGCACGCUGUCAUAUAGCUUCAGGCUGCUGUGUGUGAGUUUGUGUGUAGGAGUGAACGGGAAAGUGAAAAUUAAAAGUCAGUGUGCAAAGUCACAGAAAAUGUCGCACUCUGCUGUGGAUGCUUUUAAACCUGUGUCUGUGUUUGCAGAUGUCUUUCACCAUGUGUGUCUGUUUGCACCACAUGCCAACCAGUCUGAUUUAUUUGGUGGAAAUGUGAUUAUUCUGGAUUUUUGUGAGCCACGCUGUCUUUUCUUACAACUGCUAAAUCCUUUUUUCCUCCGUCUAUGCUUUCUCCCUCUCUCUCUCUCCUCCCCUCUCUUCUCUCCUGAGGCUUUGUUUCCUUUGUAACAAAAGUGGGUCUUUUUUUAGUUAAUUCAGCAUGUUCAAAUUUCACACUCUUAAUUGUACAUAGAGAUAAACAGGUUCCCCCUAUUGUGGACACGGGGGGCAGCAGGAGAGGGGGAGAGAGCAGGGGGCUAUACUGGCUUUACUCUCCUGUUUUCAUUUUACACAGUGGAGGGCAACAACUGUGCCAUGUUCUCCUGUCCUUUAAAGCCCACUGGUUCCCCAUUAAAAUUACAGCGACUGCUUUCAAUGGCGUUAUCCAACACUUGAGGCUUCUGAGUGACAGCAAAGUAGAAAAGGAAGAGAGAUGGCCAAAGUGGGAUAAAGUUACUGAGCAAUCUUGUGAAGCAGACACGCCAAUGCACAGCCAACGUAGAAUUUCAAAGUAUUUUGUACAUCAGAUAUAUCACAAAAAAAUCUCAAAUGAAAAUGACAUAACAUUUUGCUAUUCUUGAGAUUUAGUAAAAUUUUGUUAAAAUUCAAUGGAAUAGUAAUAAGGUGAAAUAUUCAAACUACAAUAUCGUCACCUUCUUAAAAUAAUGGCUUAUGUCAUUUUCUAACAAAAAUACUUAUUCAGUCCCUCAUGUUGCUGCCCAUCUCUGGUAGAUUUGCCUAAAUCCUCAAUUGAACAGAUCAUGUGAUACUACCCUUGUAGUAUAAGGACUAUGUAAAGGAUGUGGGUUAGGCCAUUUUCUGAGAGUAUUCAGGAACGUUUCUGAAAACUUGCUCAUUGACUUAAGCCAUUAUUUUAAGAAGGUGACGAUAUUUAGAAAUAAUUGAUUUCCUAACAAUCAGUCUUAGUAACUGAAUAGAUAGCCUUUAAGAUAAUUUUCUAUGGUUUCUAAAUCUAAGUGAUUAUUAUAUACUUAUACAAGUUUCUUGGGGAUUUAUUAAAAAAUUUGUGUUUGGUAAAUUGUGUAUCAAUAAAGAUUAAAUAAACUGACAAAAGUAUAAAAAUGAUCAGUGUCAAACUCUCAAUGUAAAAAGCAAACACUUGGUUGAUUUUACUGCGAUCUUUAAUUAAUUCUGCACUUAGCUCCUUGAAUAGAUAAAAACCUGCUGAGUAUUGAUUUUUACAUCUGUACAUUUGUCUGUGCACUUGUGCUAUGUCUUUUCAGAGCCACAUGAAUACCAAUACACGUAAGCUAGGAGAAGAGGCAGUAAGGAGGGUGAAAGAGGGAGAAACAAAUACAGGGAGAGGGGAGACGGUCGGUGUAGGCGCUGGGGCUGCAGCAGCCAUGUGCAGGUGGCUUUGCUUUGGCCCAUGGCAUCUCCUGUCAAUACAGCCAGAUGUGACGGCUAAAUACACUCAGCAAAGAAUUAGCGGGGUGUGGUGUGACACUGAAUGUAAGUUGUCAGGAUGUGUGUGUGUACGUAUGAGGGAUAGGCUCCUGCAAACAGAAAAGCAGUGUGUGUGCUCCAUGGCUCCCUGCCACCUUGUCCAUCUCAUAAGUCAACACAAACACACAGACAAACACACAAAAAUGCCCACCAUGGAGAGGACCUCUGUGUUGUGCCAGUCACAUUGUUUCUUGAGACCCUCUGUCAAGAGUGUGCAGGGCGGUCUGAGGACCGAAAAAAGAGAGAUGGAGCAAAGGAUAUUAAACAAGGUGGUCAGAUAGUUUAAAAUUAAUAAUGAUUUUUUUUGUAAGAUUAUCAUGUAUUUAAAUAUAGAUAUAUAUUUAUGGAUGUGUAUACUUUAAGCAAAGCUGUUAAUAUUUAAAAUCCCUAUAAUUUAUACUUAAAUUUGUAUAUUUAUCAGAGUUUAAUAUAGACUUCAAAUUGUAAAUUCCUUUUUAUGCACAAAUUCUUAUAUGUAUGGGAACGAAAUUUAAUUAUUGAUAUCCAAUUAUUGGUGCACAUAUUCUUAUUUGUCAAAAACAAAAAUGUUCCUUCACUGUAUCAAAUUUGCUUAAUGUAAUUCAAGUUCUGUUAUCUCAAUAAUUAAAACAUUCAUUGACUUGUUUUACAUGACAUUUAUUCAAGCAAUACAAUGACCCUCCAUCUGCCUGUGUGUGUGUGUGUGUGUGUGUGUGUAUUUCUUGUUUUCAUUCAUCAAGUCUAUUGUUUGAAAUCCCUGAUAAUUUCCAACUAGGUGUCGAAUGCAAUUAAAAAAAAUCAAACCCUGAAAUGUCAUUAAUGCACGGAUAUUUCCUGCUGUACAGACUGUGGCUCAUAAACCAAAGAGAUGCUGUCGAGUCUGUUUGUGACUCUGCACCCAGGUAGAAAUUUGUGUUUGUUUUUUACUCAACGGUGUAUUUAGCAGCACUGACACGACCAAAAAGAGAGAGAGAGGCAAAGUUAUCAUGACGACUGGCUCGACCCAGUGAGACAAUGAAUAGAUUUUACGUCACUGAGAAGAUGUCAAGUGAGAUGACAUACAGUGAAUUAAAUAGUCCGGACAAAUUAUUGUGGCAAUAAACAAAUUUGUGUAUUCGUGUGAGAGCCUAGACCAACAUUUGCAUGAGAAAGUCUAACGUACAGUAUGUUUGUCCCAGCGAGGACAAUACAAAAUGAGCCACUUCAGAGUGUACACAUGUAUGAACGCACACACAAUGCUUGUAACACUUUGUCUCUCCUCCUCCCUCCCUCACUUAUCACCCUCUUUCCAUCAGUCUCCCCAUCUGUCCCUCCCUUUCUAAAUGAACCUCCUCAUGCUCAUUCCAUCUCCCUGCAUGCACCUCUCUUUCUCUCCUCCAUCUCCCGCUCCCUCCUUCUCCCUCUCUCAGGAAAGCGGCAGUGGUUAAUUUAGUUGGUCAUAACUAAUAGCGGCUAAUCUGCGGGCAGGAGUCUGCUGAGGAUAUUGGACAGUGUCGAGGUUAAUCGCAGCCCGCCCGGUUAGUCAAGGCAGACAAGGGAAGGAGAGAGGAGGAGGGUGGAAGAGGAAGAGGUGGAGAAGGAGGAGAAAGAGGAGGAGGAGGGCUUAAUUCCACCGAAGGCAAAUGGCAUGCCGGUUUUUAUCUGGGCCCCUGAUAAGGGAGCGCUAAUACACCGAGGAGAAUGGAUGCUCAAGGGCCGGGUUCCCCUUAUCAGCAAACUUUACAACAGGAGCCCCGGACUAACGGCGCAACCCCCACGCCGUGCACAAUAAGCACCUCAUUUCACCUCUCAAGCAGAACUAUCGCCACACCACCACCACCCACCACCCACCCGCCUUGCUCCUCUCACACGCCUGCAUGCACGUACACACUUACACACGCGUACGCCGCAUCCUCUCCACUUCACUUUUCCCCGGUUGCCAACCCAGCCCACCUCCACCGCCUCAUCCACCACCCAAACCCAUCAAGCCUCGGAACACGCGUUCACACGGACACACUUUUUUUGAAAUAACUUCACGUUUUUUUGUAAAUGAAACACAUUUUCACAGGUGUACACAUUUUCUUGGCACAAACCUUUAUGUGAAGGCUCACAUUUACCUUCAUGUAUACAUUCAGACAUAUACAUGGACACUCACAUUCAUGCGAACAUAAGCUUUAUGUGGACACACACGCACUCCAAUAUGCGCCACUUCCCUCCCUGUCUUUCUGUCUCUGUGCAGCCCUGAGCACACAGCCACCAGGAAUGGGGGAGUAUUAUGAGCGUGGGCUAAUUGGAAGAUCACUCUAAUGCAUUAAGAGAUAAAAUAGUUUGGCUGCGGGCCUGGAGGCAGGAUCAGAACAACAUUGGAGGAAGCUAUCUGGCCCUGUCACACAUUUGCAGAUUUCCAUACUAACGCAGCAAGAGCAAUUACCCCAAACACAGAGCUCAGUUGGCGCUACAACACACUCCCUGCCAGUACCACGGCCCCAGGAAAUUAGAGGAGGUGUGUGUGUGUGUGUCUGUGUGUGUACGAGGGUGUCUGUGAAUACGCUUCAGCAAGGGAAGAAAUUGGCUUAGUGUUGUUUGAUUGUGUAUUUGUUUUCUGGGUAAAAGAGACAGGAAUUGGCUUCAGGAUGAGUUAGGAUUUUUACAGGGUGGCCUGGGGUGUGUCGUCCAAAGGGAGAGAGAGAGAAAGAGGGAAAAAGAGCUGGACAGAUACACAACCACCAAAACAAAGGUAUUUAGACAGUCAGCUAAUCAACAUGGCUAAUAGGGGGACAGGCAUCUGCUUGCUUACACCCUGUCUGUGUUGUUUUUCACAUGCUAAUCACUGUUUGUUAUCACCGACAGUGGGUGGUGAGUGUAUUUGUAUGUGUGUGUGAGUGUGUGUGUGUCUGUGUGUGUGUAGUGUAAUCAUCCUCCGUAUUCUCAGCUUUUUUAAAAUUAGCAACUAAAAUUGAGUGUUAGGACUUCUUUUGAUAGAGUUUUUGUUGAUUUGUGUCAAACUUGAGCAGCUGAGGAACAUUUAUUUGUUCACAGGAAUUAAAAAGACACUUUGUAUAACAGACUAAUAAAGACAAUUGUGAUUGUUUCUUCCAGAUAUUCCUCUGUGAGUAAAGUUGGACUUUACUAUAGUUCUAUUUUACAACUUAUCUUUUUAUUUUAACUGGAUUUGAAUUAACUUUGCCCUGUUUAAGCAACAAAACCGAUUAAUCAAAGACGUACAUAGUGGAUCAUAGCCAACUGACUCUUCUUGGUCUCCUGUAGUCUUGAGUAGCAGGUGUAACAAGUAGAUGCUCCUUACAGCUUUCAGUCGGCCUGGUGAAGCUUGUUUAAAUUGCGCCUGUGCUGGCAUCUGCCUGCAGGGUAAAACAAGGCCUCCCUUGACUCUCUUCAACUAAAAGGAUAACAGGUCACGGCUGAAAAGAGAAGGUGCUUAUGGUCAGAGCGAUUUCAUACCUUAACCAGAACGAGACCGUUUUGGCACGGGGGCACGGGAACACACACAGAGGUCCUGUAUAUCCCCGCUGUAGGGUGGGACAGACACCAGCCCUAAGCGUCCUUUACUAUUGUUGUCUAUGAUUCGCCGUUAAAUCCAAUUUAUCUCAGUUAUGGAAAUGCAUCUCCACCCUGCAGCACAUUGGGAAGGGUUUAUUCAACAUAACCCCUCCAUUUAACCAUUCCUUAUCCCCUUGUUGAUUUGCUUCCAUGGCACAGCUUAGGUUAAUGUAACAGUAGCCUGGGGCUGCAGGGGGAUAGUGCUUCUGUAUUGCUAUAUGAACUGUCUCACUGGAGUUUUGGAUCACUGCUGCAUGUUGCAGUCACACAGUAACUAAAAACUUCAAGUGUCACAUUGCAAUUUUAUCACCAUAGUCUUCAGCUUGGCCAGAGGAAGUAAAUUUAAUAAUACCGUUUUAAAACAAACUUCUCUUUUCAUGGUCUAUAUCCCUGUAUUUUUGGACAAAUCACAUGCUUUAAUGAAAAAAAUUAAAAACAGAGUCACUAUGAAGCGGGUCUUUGUUUUCUUUUCUGCAUCUGUGCUCCUUCUUGUGUUUUUGACUAGACCUCCUUGGCUACAAAAAGUGGAAUACUAGAUUAAGAUAAACAGCAUGCACCAACAGAAAUACAUGCGCUUGCACUCUCCUGAAAUCAAACACAUAGGGGUCAUCAAAACAUCAUGUGACAGUGUAUGUUUUCCCUCUGCCCCCUGUGCAGUUUGCUAAUUGCUCACAGGGUGAUAUGUAACAACUAGAGCAACUCCCGUGGCAGUUUUCAUUUCAAUGGGGGUAAACAAAGGCUCGCUCUGUAGACAUGGGGAGGAGCUGUGUUCGCAUGGGUGGUGGGCGUGGGUAUAAGGCCUAAAUGUGUGUGCGAGUGGAUGCUGAGGUGUAUGAUGAGAUGCAUCACGAGACAAUAAAUAUUCAUUAUCACACCCACAUGAGCCACAGGCACUUUGGUUGUUUUCCACCAUGUGAGCCGAUUGGUUCAGGGUGUCAGUGAAAAGCAGCCAGGCCGAGAUAUCAGAGAUAGACGCUGUCUGAGCAGAGGAUUUCAAAGUGUUAGGAUACGCUGUUACACUUCUAAGACUUCAUCCAUCCAUCUUGCUCGCACACACUCACACAAGGAGACGUUCACACACACAUCAGAUCAAUACAGACUCGGAUGAUGACACUGAGAUGCUCAAUGUGAGGCCAAGAGCUUCUUUUUUUUCUAUCCGUCUGUCUCUGCUCCAACCUCUCUUUCUAUUACCUGUCUACUCCCUUUCUCCUCCUCUCUUUUCCUUGGCUGGCCUCUGCAAUCUUCUCUUCAAACGCUCCAACCCUGGAGCACUGUCUCACCUCCACUUGUCUCCCCCACCACUUCCUAACACCCCACACCCCCCACAAUCCUCUCUUCCUCUGCUCUCCAGCUGCCCCAUCCCUCCUCAUUGUCCCUGUGAAACAAUUGGCAGAUGUAACAUUUAAUUAUGGCGGUAUCUCCUCCGGCGCCAGAGAAGCAUAGCGGACCUAUAACGCCACUCAGAGCGAAGGAGGAGUUGCAUUACAAUUUGCAGUGAAGUGAUUUAUUCGCCGAACAAGGUGGGAGGGGGGAGGAAGGGGGAACCAAACAGGAAAGGUAAUUUCUCGCUACUCGCUACAAAAAGGUCAAAUGCUUUUUAAUGACUGUGUUUUCUGAUAAUGCAGGAUGGAGUACUGCGGCGGCUACGGCGCUGGCGUGGGGGGAGGAGUGGGCCCUGGCAAUAAUAAAGUUGCAGAUUGGUAUCACGUUGCGACUUUUUAAUGGAGUCUUGUGGCUGAGGACUUCAUUUGCAGCAGCGGUAUUCGGCCCCUCGCCUCACCGUGACUGUCACCGUGUGUGAUUUCUCUAUUCCAGCUGCUGCCUGUCGUUGUUGUUUGCCAUCAACCUGGGCCAAUUUUAAAAGAGCAAAUGAAGUGUAGCCCAUUAAAUGUUGCCAUUCACACAGUCGUCGCGGGGUUAUUGAAUGGUGAUUAAACAAGAGAGGGAGAAGAUAUGACCAUGUGAGCAAACUGACAAAGCCACAUAGCUCUGAUACCUGGUAUGCACCGAGGGCAGGAAGAAAAGAGAGAGUAGGCAAAUGAAUAAAAAGCGAAGGGAACCGAUAAGGACAGAAGGGGUGGAGUUAAUUAAUGAAGACCAGUCAUACAGUAGCCUCAGAGCAGAUGUCCAACAUAUUAAAAUAGUCAAACCAAUUUAAAUUCUGAGGCCUUUCAUAGAAAGGUCAAAUAUUUUUAGAUGACUGCAACUCAUUCAGAUUUUUUUAAAUCAACCUUUUCUGAAUCUGUUUAAUUUUUUGUAUUAAUAGUAGAAUUUUUCUGGGUUGGGUUUGGACGGGCAGAGUGCUGUUCAAUGUCAGUGUAAAUAUUAACAACCACUGUCACAUAUUAGUGAAGUAGCAUAGGCCCAGCUGUAUUAGUUGAGAAACUGAGCCAAAAUUGAGUUAUAAUACACAUCUGAUAAAAGUAUUUAGCUUGUAAAUGAGUUGAUCUUCACACAGCUUCUGUAUCAGGAUUCAAUGACUAAAAUGCAGUUAAUUUUAGCUGCAUGGGGCAUGGUGUGUGUACAACGCGUCCUCCACCAUAGCUAUUUUGAAAUUGAUGCCACAAUAUAACAUAGUAUGGAUGCACAGACUGUUUGGCUACUGAGAAGUCCCCCAAAGCUAUGUAUGCACAAAAGACGCGUUUUUAAACUGAUGUGGUUUUAAUUAUAGCUUUGCCUUAUAUUUAACAGCAUGUAGUUUCUAUUUGAAGAAAAGAGUACUAAAUGUGGCACAGAGUCCGCUGAUGGAAUUAUCAGUGUAUUGCUCAACACCCCCCCACACACACACCCCCACCCCCAUCAUCCAACAGCAGAGUCCUGUUUUGAAAAUUACAUAAUUCGCCUUAUUAAUGAGCGUGAAUUGUACUCGACAAUUAGAGAUGGGUGGAAAAUGUUAAGUUGGGUGUAGAGAGAAAUGCUUCCAAUUACACGGCGACACGGGGCCUUGUACCUUCCCAGCCUCCACUAGCGGUAAUUAAAUCCACAAGCUUCUUAACGAGGCAGCCAUGAAAUAAGAGUUGAAGGGUUAAUGCGACUAUCAUUUCUCCCCGCAGAACGACUCCAUGAGUCGGCGCGCGCACGUGCCACACGCGGAAACACACUCGUGGACAUUUGCAUAAACAUGUCCUGAAAUUACACAGUGAAACCUUCAUUCUUUGAUACUUUUCAUCGUUCUCUGAAGGAUAAGGUGCGCAAUAAAAACAAUACACUCCCUAACAUCGCACUAUGACAUUAUUUAGAGCCCAAAUGUGUCAGCUUAAGGUAGUUUCAUGUUUGUUAAAGUAUUAAAAGGCCUCCUCUAGUUUACCUUUAAGAUGAAGUUGAAGCGAGAACUUCCUUUUCCCCAACCUGCUCGGCUCCCUCAUUUCCGUUUUGAUAAUUCCUUUUCUGUGAAAGAGCUAGCCGCGUUUUAACUCAGUCAAAAUUAUUAUACCAUCGAAGAAGAAGAGGAACAGGAAGCCGAGGUGGAGUGUGUUAAGAUGAUGAGGGAGCUGCUGCUGCCCCUCUGUGUCUGCUGCUGCAAGGCCACUCUACUCUCAGCACACUGGAAACGAUUAUGGAUUUAAUAUGCAGGACCUUGAACUAGUCUGUUACGGGAGAUUCACUUUAUAUAGGAAAAGUUAUGGUACAGCCUAUACAGCGAAUAUAAUUUACUUACAUAUGAACUGCAUUAGUUAUAUGACGUUGACAAUAUCGAUGACUAGUACUUCUGAUAUUUCACAGUCAGUCUGCUAGGAUGUCUAACACCACAGCCUGUAUACUUUCCUCGUGUUAUUAUUUUAUUUCUCCGCCCACUGACAUCUGAGGAAGCUCGAGCUCCUGGCUAUUUGAUAAUUUUGUUAACUUUUCACCUCCGUUCAAUAUCCUGUCAAAGCGGCUGAAGGCUGUGCACACCUCGUGCCAUUAUCUGCAACGGCGCGUGGCUUAUUGUAAUGGUUCCCUUCAAUCACGGAAGGAUGUAUUUGAAUUCAUAAUAGCGGCGGAAUCUGCGUCUAAUCUUCGAGCUCGAGCGAGGGGGGAGCGCGCGCGCGGAGUCGCAGUGUGCGGUCACCCCCGCUAAUGGAGGGAUACUGACAGCAGCAGUGUGUGUGUGAGUGUGUGAGCGAGUGAGUGUGUGCGCACGAGUCUGUGUAUGUGUGUCUUUCACUGGCUAAAAAUAUUAGUCUAAAUUCUGAGUUAUUUAAAAUUAUUAUAUUGAUUUUUUAAAAUAUAUAUAUUUGAAAUUAAAUCGAGAAGAAUUGUGAUAAGGUUUCUUUUGGGAAUUUUUCUGUCAUUUUUCCAAGCAGGUGAACUUCCUAUCUAAUUGUUCAGAGUGAUCCGUGAGUAAUUAGAGAAAAUAAUCAGUCAGAUUAGACGAUUUUUUUUGAUAAUAAUCACUAUUUUCCAGUGUAAAGUGAGUAUCCUAGGUCACAAGCACAAUUUUCCUGACAGGCUAUCUGACAUAUUCGGAACAGUCACAUUCCCCUUUCAUAUUAUAGCCAUAUAUAUACGGUCUUUUCUGGCUCUUAAAGAUAGAUGCAUAAUCCGCUGACACAAUGACUUUCCCAUUAUUGUGUUUGGCCACUAUAAUCCUAUGCGCCUGCAGAGGUCAAAUCUCCCAAAAUUCUCCGGUCUUGGCCUUUCACGCUGCGCCGCCAAUUAUUGAUACCUCCUACCAAUGGGCGAUGGGUUUCAUUUGUAUUUCAUUCAUCGUGGAAUGAGCUGAAAAUGUGUCAAAGAGCUGACAUUGUUGAAAACCACCGAUGUGGGGAAACCUCAUCAUUGCUCCGGCCCUCGAGCUUCUCUCGUCCAAUAAUUAAAACACUGUGAAAAUAUCAAUGUCCCGUGAGAAAUGAGCAUACUUUUCUCAAAAAAAUGGGCCACGGACAUAAAAGAUAUAUGAGGCUGUUCACGCUUUUAUAAUUCAGUGAAAGAAAUGGAGUCUGUUCAUGGUAAUGUGAUUUAAAGGUAUUGGUGCUUUCUAAUUUCUGUGGCCUUGAAUAUAUCCGCGGUCGUCGCCCUGCAUGGAGAAUGAACUUGUUAUUGAUGUCAUGUGGAAAUGUCUUUGUACUUACAGUGUGGGUUUAUAUCUGUGUGUGUUAUUAAAGAAAGCCCGGAGUAAAGUAUCCCCCUUGCUCACACACACACACACGCACACACACCCCUUACACGGCACAGUUUCAUUACCUCUGUUUGUUUUGUGGACCUGUAAACAGUGCAGACUGAUCUGGUAUCUGUAGCUCGCAGCCUUUCCCGAGCCAGACACAAACACAUUUCUUUUAAUGAGGCUUCACAAUUGCCUGCUGCACAGUCCUCCACUCCAGACCAUUAAUAUUGUAUUGUUCAUAUCAUGGACUCCUAGGUUACAGCGAGCAUGCAUUUUUCAUUGCGAUAAUCCUUAAUUAUUUUUAUGCACCCUUAAUCUUUCAUAUAGUUUCAGUGUUUUGCUUAAAUAUUUAAUGGCACGAUGAUGCGGCGCGCGUCUUUCAGGACUCUCGGCUCUCUCAGACGAGGGAAGAGGUGGUGCAGAGGAGAGAGAGAGAGAGAGAGAGAGAGAGAGAGAGAGAGAGAGAGAGAUGAGGAAACGGAUUUCAACGCCUCCUCCUCGGUACUGUCUGCUUGAGUGACUAGGCCUCCAGUGGAGACGCAGUUUUAAUUCAUAUCAACACUGACCUCAUUCAAAAUAAUCCUCUCUGCUUUAAUCGCUUCUAUUCCAGAGCUCUAACUCAUUUCUUCAAAUUUAACUGCAGGCGAAAAGAGAUGACACACAGAAACGGGAAUAAGUUUAAAUAAGAAGCAUAUGCAACCUUCAUUUUUACAUUCUUGAAAAUGACACAUAAAUAGUACAACUAUACUACUACUUAUAACACUACUGUGUUCUAUACACAGUACUGUAAUAUACUACUACUAAUUAGUAUUAUUAACAUUAUUAUGUAUAUCAUCAUUAUUAUUGAUUUUUCAUGAUUACAAACAAACUCAGUAGUUAAAAUAGCUCUCUUACUUGCCUUGAACCGCCUUCUUGUGAAGUACAUUUAUCAAGUAUAGGGCAGCCUUUCAAAUGAUUGAGAAAUUAGGAUUGUUCUUCUAAAAAUGUGCAAACACUUUCUCUGAUUCAUUAUCUUCUUUAAAGCUGCUGCUCACCACAAAUUGUUGUUGCUUAAAAAUACUCAAAAACCUCAAAUUAUUUAUAAUUUUAAUGUAAAAUUAUUACCAGCUACUUGCUAGAAUCAUUAUGGUUAUUUAAACAAAUUAUUUUCAAUUUCUUGACUCAUGAAUGAAAUAUGGGAGACUUUCUUUUGUCCUAUCUACUGCAUAAAUUAGAUUUUUUCUUCUCAGAUUCAGAAAAAUUAUAUUUAGAUCCAUAAGAAAAUAAACUGUUUUUGUAAAUGAUCCUCAAUAAAUAAAUAUUUUGGAUAAAAUUUCUAUUUGCUGGGAGAUGCUUUCUCCACAGGAUGAACCCCUUCCCUUUUUUAUCAGCCAGCAGUGAAGGCCUACAGGUCACAGGACCGCUGUUAUGAUUCCUUUGAAUCCUCAAACAGGAUAGGAAAACAUGCUUUAAAAAUAAGAGCUAACAAUGAACACCAACCCCUCCCUCAGAUGUGCACUGAUUAUUGUUUGGAGGACUGAGGCAGUUAUAUAAAACUUACAUCGCACUGUCACUGUAAAAAUCAAGGACUGUUACUGAGUGGUGUUUGAGUUAGUGUGUGUUUCUGUAAUUGUGAUAAAAGAAAUUGCUGAAUCUCUAUUUGUACUUCAUUGGUUAAUUUUAUUCUGAAACAAAAGGCCCACUUGAAUUCAACAACAGGCAGCUUUAGUUCCUAUCACCAUUUAAAACAGUCAGUGUGUUCACAACAAAGCCAGUGAACUUUAUUGUGAAUUUAUUUUAGGUCAAAGGUCAACCUGUAAACUGGAUCUUCUCUUCAGGGCCUCAGUCUGUUGAUGCUGUCAUGGUGAGGGAGUGAUCAUUGUGCCCUCCUGCAGCUGAGUGGCAGAUGGGCAGAGUUGUUGCUGGUUCAAAGGUCCACACUCGGACGUGUUUAUCUCCACACCAACACGGAGGGAGUGUAGUUUAAUUCAAACGUCACACUCAGGAGCCAUUAAUCCCAUCUAGUGAUAUGAUAGGAAGCGAGAUGGGAUAAAUCUCCACCAAUACCAUUAGUGAUAAUGUUACUGUAAUAAUACCUAUGGCUCUGUGGUGCAGUGUGUGUAUAUUUGCUAGUGAGUAUGGGUAGUUGUAUAUAGAGAAGUUCUAAUAAUCUGGUUACAGAUCCAGCCCGAGAUGAUUGAUAGGCUACGAUGAAGCUGAAGUGAUUGAGAGAUUAGGGGAAAGGUCAGAAACUGUUUGCUUAUGAUAAGAGCUCAUCUGUGAGAGGAAAUCAGACAGAAAACCCAAAUGAGACAAAACAAGACAAUUCCUGGUAUCUUUGCAAUGGAUAUUGGUGCUAAGCUUUAAAUCAGUUCAAAAUUCUUGUAUAAACGUCACAUAACCUGCAGAAACAAAGUGGUUUAGUUUAAUCAAUUGAAGGUAUUUUUCCAAAUUUAAAGAGACAUUUUGUAAAAAUGAGUCCAGUGUUGUGUUUCUAUCCUGUUUAAAGCAGUUGGAUCACACAUCAAAGUAGCUUCACUGUUACUAGAAAUUCAGCUCAGCUAUGUCGUUCACUUUGAGCUAUUCCAGCAUUAGAUAUACCACUCAAAUCUUUAACUGACCUCUGUGUUUCUAAAAACUCUCCUGUCACGCUCCUUUAUGAGAUCAGAAUCCUUCUUUUAAAAUGUUUUUGGAUGUCUUUUAUUUUUUUAAUUUGGAGGUAAAAAAAAAAAAAAACAACAUUGUUGACUUUUUACCUUUUUUAUAUAAUUCUUGUAAAUCAGAGCACUGGGUUUCAACAAACCACCAUGACAACAUUUUUUUAAAAUGAUGUGUACCAUGUAUUCCUGUUGUUUUUAUUGCUUGAUCUUUGCUCCCUGUUUACCACAUACAGACAUAAUAAAGGCAACCUUGUUCCAACUGUAUGCAUUAGGUUAAGAUUAGCAUCAUUUUAAAAACGACAAUUUGUAAUGAAACUUCCAAAUUUAAGUAGAAAGAAAUGUAUUUCCACUAAUCCAAGGCAGACAGUUUUCAUUACAGCAAUGGGAAAUCUUGGUCCAGGUCUGUGGUCAGUGUAUGCAUCAGUGUCCUCCUCCUCCUCCUCCUCCUCCUCCUCCUCCUACACCCCUGUUCGUCUUUCCUCUCCCCACCUGUCUCAUUGUUGUAAAGAGACGCUCUCAUCCCUUCUUCCUGAUUCACUUAUGCUCGGUUUUCACUGCUCUUAACUCUCACGCUGAUCUUUACGACCACCCACGUUCCUGCUGUAUCAGCCUGCAUGUUAUGUUUGGUUGAAAACUUGGGCUACAAUCUGAAGCCACUGUUUGACAUAUGUUGAUGGUUAUUGGCAUGCAUUUCAAAUAAGAAAUGGAGACACUUGAAUCAGUAAAACAUAAAUGCUAUUUUAAAGAUUUGAACUCUACGAUACUGAAAAUUUUAUGGAUAGUUCUUAGAUGACAGAUAACUGAUUAUCAGGGUAUAAACACAACCCACGUUGAAUCUUUUCAGGGACAUGACUUCAUCUGGACAACCCUCAGGUAAACAAAGUCUGUAACACCAUCUCGAGGGAGGACAACCAUUCACCCACAGAUCCAGGACUUGUGAUCUUCAAGUUGCAUCCCCAGCCAUGAAGAGCUUUCCUUGGGGGUCUCAAUGGGGUACAGGCCCUGGAUGAUUGUGGCUGGGCUGCUUGUGUAGUGUACAGUUUGUGUAAGAGGAAGAUGGGGGCACCUUUUCUGAGGAAGAAUGGCAAAUAAAAUGGAUGCAAGUAUGGGAGGAGCAG
This is a non-coding RNA of Xyrichtys novacula (pearly razorfish), 17305 nucleotides long. The record is from the annotation of a GenBank genome assembly. Lineage: Eukaryota; Metazoa; Chordata; Actinopteri; Labriformes; Labridae.